Molecule: transfer RNA, 62 nt
Filed under: human gut metagenome
Rfam family: tRNA
About the family: Transfer RNA (tRNA) molecules are approximately 80 nucleotides in length. Their secondary structure includes four short double-helical elements and three loops (D, anti-codon, and T loops). Further hydrogen bonds mediate the characteristic L-shaped molecular structure. tRNAs have two regions of fundamental functional importance: the anti-codon, which is responsible for specific mRNA codon recognition, and the 3' end, to which the tRNAs corresponding amino acid is attached (by aminoacyl-tRNA synthetases). tRNAs cope with the degeneracy of the genetic code in two manners: having more than one tRNA (with a specific anti-codon) for a particular amino acid; and 'wobble' base-pairing, i.e. permitting non-standard base-pairing at the 3rd anti-codon position.
Source: RNAcentral
CAUUAGCUCAGUGGUAAGAGCAGUCGGCUCAUAACCGAUCGGUCCUGGGUUCGAAUCCCCGA